GCCGGGCGUGGUGGCGUGUGCCUGUAGUCCCAGCUACUUGGGAGACUGAGGUGGGAGGAUCGCUUGAGCCCAGGAGUUCUGGGCUGCAGUGCACUAUGCCGAUUGGGUGUCUGCACUAAGUUGGGCAUCAAUAUGGUGACCUCCCAGGAGCGGGGUACCACCAGGCUGCCUAAGGAGGGGUGAACCGGCCCAGGUCAGAAACAGAGCAGGUCAAAACUCCCAUGCUGAUCAGUAGUGGGAUCGUGCCUGUGAAUAGCCACUGCACUCCAGCCUGGGCAACAUAGCGAGACCCCAUCUCU
This 299-nucleotide signal recognition particle RNA is filed under the name Saimiri boliviensis boliviensis (Bolivian squirrel monkey). RNAcentral describes it as "Metazoan signal recognition particle RNA (ENSSBOG00000001124.1)". It matches the Rfam family "Metazoan signal recognition particle RNA". From Rfam's summary of the family: The signal recognition particle (SRP) is a universally conserved ribonucleoprotein. The record is from RNAcentral. Lineage: Eukaryota; Metazoa; Chordata; Mammalia; Primates; Cebidae.